UAUCACUUAACUGCACAUUAUUUGACACCCGCCUUACAAAAAAUUUUCUCCAUGGCAUGUUGACAGAGUCAACAUGAAUAUAACUACUUCAGAGAAAUGACUUGGGUUGAGGAGGAAGCACUUUCCAUACAGAGGGAUCCUUCUCCAACCCAUGGAAAUCGGAGACACAUUCAAGGAAGAAACCUCUGACUAUUCCAUCUGGAAAUUGUAACUGGGGAUUCUUGCGAAGCUAGAGAUACCGGUACAAUGCAAAAAAUUAUGGAAGUAAUAAUAGAAUAUUUCCCUAAGCAUGCUUAUGUUUAGGACUCUCUUCUUAGGGUCCUGUCCCAUUCUCCUGUAUGUACCCCACAAGCUAUUAUCAGCAGGAAUAGGUCAGACCACGCUGUGGUGCAAUUUUCACGAUCACCACCAGAGGGCGGGGCUUCCUUCAGAUGCGGUUCCCCAUUGUAUUCAGGAGCUGGUUUCACUUGCCUGCUUUGUAGCCACAAGAAAGAGUAUUGCUGAAGUACAGAAAGGGGCUCUCAGUUUCUGAGCGAGCAGCUUCUGUAACAUUCAGAUGGAGACUAAAUUUAUUAGAUUUGUGUAUUCCCGGAAACAAGGAUCGUUUUCUUUUGCGAACAUGCAUUCUGCCACUCACUCAGUUCUUCUGAUCAUCUUAAUAUUCAGAGGGACCAAUGGUGACUCAGUGAACCAGAAAGAGGGCCCAGUGACUGUCUCAGAGGGGGCUCUCCUGACCCUGAACUGCACUUACCAGAACACGCAUUCAGAUCCUUAUGUUUUCUGGUACGUCCAGCAUCUCAACAAAACUCCUCAACUCCUCCUGAAGGGCUGGAUGAAAGACCAGAGUCCAGUACGUGAAGGUUUUCAGGCCACUCUUGUUAAGCGUGACAGCUCCUUCCACCUGCAGAAACGGGCAGUGCAAGCAUCAGACUCGGCUGUGUACUACUGUGCUCUGAGUGACACAGUGAGAGAGGGCUGCGGGGGAGCUGAGCACAAACCCCGAGUGCAGAUGGGGCUCUGGCUGUGGGCAGCCCUGCAGGGGGGUUGUUGUUUCUGUCUUAGGUGUUUUAUGCUAGCUGUGUUGUUGUUUAUGUACUAAGUCAUG
Bubalus bubalis (water buffalo) is the source of this 1105-nucleotide non-coding RNA. Lineage: Eukaryota; Metazoa; Chordata; Mammalia; Artiodactyla; Bovidae. The record is from the annotation of a RefSeq genome assembly.